AUUGAACGCUGGCGGCAUGCUUUACACAUGCAAGUCGAACGGUAACAGGGUGCUUGCACCGCUGACGAGUGGCGAACGGGUGAGUAAUGCAUCGGAACGUACCCAGUCGUGGGGGAUAACGUAGCGAAAGUUACGCUAAUACCGCAUACGUCCUGAGGGAGAAAGCGGGGGACCGUAAGGCCUCGCGCGAUUGGAGCGGCCGAUGUCGGAUUAGCUAGUUGGUAGGGUAAAGGCCUACCAAGGCGACGAUCCGUAGCGGGUCUGAGAGGAUGAUCCGCCACACUGGGACUGAGACACGGCCCAGACUCCUACGGGAGGCAGCAGUGGGGAAUUUUGGACAAUGGGCGAAAGCCUGAUCCAGCCAUGCCGCGUGAGUGAAGAAGGCCUUCGGGUUGUAAAGCUCUUUCAGACGGAAAGAAAUACGCAGUCUUCUAAUACAAGGUGUGGAUGACGUACCGUAAGAAGAAGACACCGGACUAACUACGUGCCAGCGAGCCGACGGUAAACUACG
Molecule: ribosomal RNA, 511 nt
Filed under: uncultured bacterium
Lineage: Bacteria
Description: bacterial SSU rRNA
Rfam family: Bacterial small subunit ribosomal RNA
Source: RNAcentral